GAUGAACGCUGGCGGCGUGCCUAAUACAUGCAAGUCGAGCGAACAGACGAGGAGCUUGCUCCUCUGACGUUAGCGGCGGACGGGUGAGUAACACGUGGAUAACCUACCUAUAAGACUGGGAUAACUUCGGGAAACCGGAGCUAAUACCGGAUAAUAUAUUGAACCGCAUGGUUCAAUAGUGAAAGACGGUUUUGCUGUCACUUAUAGAUGGAUCCGCGCCGCAUUAGCUAGUUGGUAAGGUAACGGCUUACCAAGGCGACGAUGCGUAGCCGACCUGAGAGGGUGGUCGGCCAAACUGGAACUGAGACACGGUCCAGACUCCUACGGGAGGGAGCAGGAGGGAAUUUUCCGCAAUGGGCGAAAGCUUGACGGAGCAACGCCGCGUGAGUGAUGAAGGUCUUCGGAUCGUAAAACUCUGUUAUUAGGGAAGAACAAAUGUGUAAGUAACUAUGCACGUCUUGAAGGUACCUAAUCAGAAAGCCACGGCUAACUACGUG
This 497-nucleotide ribosomal RNA is filed under the name uncultured bacterium. RNAcentral describes it as "partial 16S ribosomal RNA". It matches the Rfam family "Bacterial small subunit ribosomal RNA", at positions 28 to 507 of the family's 1533-position model. The record is from RNAcentral.